GACUCAGUGGUCAAAUGGUAAAGCGCUCGUUGCGGAGCCAGAGGGUCCUGGGUUCGAUCCCCAACGGGGUCG
This 72-nucleotide transfer RNA is filed under the name Schistosoma japonicum. RNAcentral describes it as "tRNA-OTHER". The record is from RNAcentral. Lineage: Eukaryota; Metazoa; Platyhelminthes; Trematoda; Strigeidida; Schistosomatidae.